GUAUCCCCACCCUGAUGCAGGACCCCAUCAUUACUUGGUCAAGGUCAUAUGCACUCGUCCACUGCUUCGACAGGCUCACUCUCAAUACACAGGUCACUCGGUAUGUGCCAUCUGGGCAUGGGCCACUCUUCAAUCAAUCUUUGUCACGCCAGCUUGGGUACCUGCGCACUUCCAAGCAGCUGCUCGCACCAUCAACUCCAACAUCAAAUGCAGCUGUUAGCACUUUUUCGGGAACCCAAGGGUAGGACUAGAACAGAUAAAGGGCUGCACACUGGCUGCACAAUGCUACCGACAUGUCUACACGUCCCACGAGCAGGCUCUGUCUGGCGGCGGAAGAAACGGGCGCCCUGCCACUUGCGAGAGAGACGUCGAUCUUGUUUUACAUGAGUAUUGAUGAACUUUACUGUAGAGCUACAGCAGCCGUACGCAUGAAGACGGUCAUUUUUGGCAGUGUCGUCACAAGAGUGUUUGAGGCGUUGUGCGGUGCCUCGAAGCGCCCUCUCCCUCUCUCUUUCUCCGCUUUCCUUUAUUUUCGUGCCAACUGAGUAUGGGGAAACCUGUACAUAUUGAAGAGGGGAGUCCAAAUAGAAAAAGAAAUUGAAUCUAAUGCUAGUAUUGGCGAAGA
RNA transcript from Dermacentor albipictus, 625 nucleotides. RefSeq lists it as uncharacterized. NCBI's taxonomy places the organism in Eukaryota, Metazoa, Arthropoda, Arachnida, Ixodida, Ixodidae. The record is from RefSeq and is a predicted model, not a curated record.